This 473-nucleotide ribosomal RNA is filed under the name bacterium PRO-MP4. RNAcentral describes it as "bacterial SSU rRNA". It matches the Rfam family "Bacterial small subunit ribosomal RNA", at positions 923 to 1395 of the family's 1533-position model. The record is from RNAcentral.
GCCCCAAGCGGUGGAUGAUGUGGUUUAAUUCGAUGCAACGCGAAAAACCUUACCCACCUUUGACAUGUACGGAAUCCUUUAGAGAUAGAGGAGUGCUCUAAAGAGAGCCGUAACACAGGUGCUGCAUGGCUGUCGUCAGCUCGUGUCGUGAGAUGUUGGGUUAAGUCCCGCAACGAGCGCAACCCUUGUCAUUAGUUGCUACAUUCAGUUGGGCACUCUAAUGAGACUGCCGGUGACAAACCGGAGGAAGGUGGGGAUGACGUCAAGUCCUCAUGGCCCUUAUAGGUGGGGCUACACACGUCAUACAAUGGCUGGUACAGAGGGUUGCCAACCCGCGAGGGGGAGCCAAUCCCAUAAAGCCAGUCGUAUUCCGGAUCGCACUCUGCAACUCGACUGCGUGAAGUCGGAAUCUCUAUUAAUCGCAGAUCAAAAUGUCGCGGAGAAAAUUUUCCCGGGUCUCGUACACACCGCCC